RNAcentral lists this ribosomal RNA (254 nucleotides) under uncultured bacterium. RNAcentral's name for it is "partial 16S ribosomal RNA". It matches the Rfam family "Bacterial small subunit ribosomal RNA", at positions 524 to 776 of the family's 1533-position model. The record is from RNAcentral.
UACGGGGGGAGCAAGCGUUGUUCGGAUUUACUGGGCGUAAAGGGCGCGUAGGCGGCCUCCGCAAGUCGACUGUGAAAUCUCCGGGCUUAACCCGGAAAGGUCAGCCGAAACUGCGGGGCUAGAGUGCAGAAGGGGCAACUGGAAUUCUCGGUGUAGCGGUGAAAUGCGUAGAUAUCUGGAGGAAUACCGGUGGCGAAGGCGGCAUCCUGGACCGGCAUUGACGCUGAGGAGCGAAAGCUAGGGGAGCAAACGGG